Molecule: ribosomal RNA, 429 nt
Filed under: Gemmatimonadota bacterium
Lineage: Bacteria; Pseudomonadati; Gemmatimonadota
Description: Gemmatimonadetes bacterium partial 16S ribosomal RNA
Rfam family: Bacterial small subunit ribosomal RNA
Source: RNAcentral
UAGGGAAUCUUCGGCAAUGGACGAAAGUCUGACCGAGCAACGCCGCGUGAGUGAAGAAGGUUUUCGGAUCGUAAAACUCUGUUGUUAGAGAAGAACAAGGACGUUAGUAACUGAACGUCCCCUGACGGUAUCUAACCAGAAAGCCACGGCUAACUACGUGCCCGCAGCCGCGGUAAUACGUAGGUGGCAAGCGUUGUCCGGAUUUAUUGGGCGUAAAGCGAGCGCAGGCGGUUUCUUAAGUCUGAUGUGAAAGCCCCCGGCUCAACCGGGGAGGGUCAUUGGAAACUGGGAGACUUGGGUGCAGAAGAGGAGAGUGGAAUUCCAUGUGUGGCGGUGAAAUGCGUAGAUAUAUGGAGGAACACCAGUGGCGAGGGAGGCUCUCUGGUCUGUAACUGACGCUGAGGCUCGAAAGCGUGGGGAGCAAACAGG